CCUGGAGAGAUGUGAAUCCAUAACCAAACCUGACUCUCAGUUCCUCCCGGUCGAUAAACUAAAGCUGGAGGGAGAACUGCUGGAACUGAAACACCUACAGAGUGAACUUCAGUCUCUGGAGACGGUUCACAACAGACUGGUGACUCAAACGCCAACUCUUUACACCACUGCAUCAGAUGAACGUGUGGAAACACUCACAGAAGAUCAUGAACAGCUCGAGAAAAGAUGGAAGUGUCAGACCACAACUAUACCUCAAAGAAUCCAGGUGCUUCAGGAGCAGCUUU
Carassius auratus (goldfish) is the source of this 284-nucleotide long non-coding RNA. RefSeq lists it as uncharacterized. Lineage: Eukaryota; Metazoa; Chordata; Actinopteri; Cypriniformes; Cyprinidae. The transcript is spliced from 3 exons. The record is from RefSeq and is a predicted model, not a curated record.